CAGCAGCCGCGGUAACACAGAGGGUGCGAGCGUUAAUCGGAUUUACUGGGCGUAAAGCGUGCGUAGGCGGCUUCUUAAGUCGGAUGUGAAAUCCCUGAGCUUAACUUAGGAAUUGCAUUCGAUACUGGGAAGCUAGAGUAUGGGAGAGGAUGGUAGAAUUCCAGGUGUAGCGGUGAAAUGCGUAGAGAUCUGGAGGAAUACCGAUGGCGAAGGCAGCCAUCUGGCCUAAUACUGACGCUGAGGUACGAAAGCAUGGGGAGCAAACAGGAUUAGAUACCCGUGUAGUCCCUGUCUCUUAUCA
RNAcentral lists this ribosomal RNA (301 nucleotides) under uncultured bacterium. RNAcentral describes it as "partial 16S ribosomal RNA". It matches the Rfam family "Bacterial small subunit ribosomal RNA", at positions 509 to 809 of the family's 1533-position model. The record is from RNAcentral.